This 434-nucleotide ribosomal RNA is filed under the name uncultured bacterium. Its description in RNAcentral is "bacterial SSU rRNA". It matches the Rfam family "Bacterial small subunit ribosomal RNA", at positions 958 to 1392 of the family's 1533-position model. The record is from RNAcentral.
AACGCGAAGAACCUUACCUGGCCUUGACAUCCUGGGGAUCCUGCCGAGAGGUGGGAGUGCCUUCGGGAGCCCAGUGACAGGUGCUGCAUGGCUGUCGUCAGCUCGUGUCGUGAGAUGUUGGGUUAAGUCCCGCAACGAGCGCAACCCUUAUCCCUAGUUGCCAGCGGUUCUGCCGGGAACUCUAAGGAGACUGGCCCGGAAAUCGGGGAAGAAGGGGGGGAAGAACUCCAGUCCUCAUGGCCUUUAUGUCCCGGGGUACCCCCCUGCUACAAUGGGCGGGACAAAAGGUUGCCAAACCGUGAAGUGGAACCAAUCUCAUAAAAACGUCCCCAGAACAGAUUGUGUUCUGCAACUCUACUGCAUGAAAGUGGAAUCUUUAUUAAUCCCGCAUCACAACGGUGGGGUGAAUAAUUUCCCCGGCCUUGUACACACCG